GUAGGGAAGUCUUCCACAAUGGGCGAAAGCCUGAUGGAGCAACGCCGCGUGUGUGAUGAAGGGUUUCGGCUCGUAAAACACUGUUGUAAGAGAAGAAUGACAUUGAGAGUAACUGUUCAAUGUGUGACGGUAUCUUACCAGAAAGGAACGGCUAAAUACGUGC
RNAcentral lists this ribosomal RNA (163 nucleotides) under uncultured bacterium. RNAcentral describes it as "partial 16S ribosomal RNA". It matches the Rfam family "Bacterial small subunit ribosomal RNA", at positions 354 to 508 of the family's 1533-position model. The record is from RNAcentral.